GUAGGGUGCGAGCGUUAAUCGGAAUUACUGGGGCGUAAAGCGUGCGCAGGCGGCUUUGCAAGACAGAUGUGAAAUCCCCCGGGGCUCAACCUGGGGAACUGCAUUUGUGACUGCAGGGCUAGAGUACGGCAGAGGGGAUGGAAUUCCGCGUGUAGCAGUGAAAUGCGUAGAUAUGCGGAGGAACACCGAUGGCGAAGGCAAUCCCCUGGGCCUGUACUGACGCUCAUGCACGAAAGCGUGGGGAGCAAACAGGAUUAGAUACCCUGGUAGUCCACGCCCUAAACGAUGUCAACUGGUUGUUGGACGGCUUGCUGUUCAGUAACGAAGCUAACGCGUGAAGUUGACCGCCUGGGGAGUACGGCCGCAAAGGUUG
RNAcentral lists this ribosomal RNA (373 nucleotides) under uncultured organism. RNAcentral's name for it is "partial 16S ribosomal RNA". It matches the Rfam family "Bacterial small subunit ribosomal RNA", at positions 527 to 896 of the family's 1533-position model. The record is from RNAcentral.